RNAcentral lists this ribosomal RNA (460 nucleotides) under uncultured bacterium. RNAcentral describes it as "partial 16S ribosomal RNA". It matches the Rfam family "Bacterial small subunit ribosomal RNA", at positions 338 to 795 of the family's 1533-position model. The record is from RNAcentral.
CCUACGGGUGACAGCAGUGAGGAAUAUUGGUCAAUGGCCGGAAGGCUGAACCAGCCAUGCCGCGUGAAGGUCAGUGCCCUAUGGGCGUUAAACUUCUUUUGUGCGGGAGCAAUAAUGGUCACGUGUGGCCAGACGAGAGUACCGUACGAAUAAGCAUCGGCUAACUCCUUGCCAGCAGCCGCGGUAAUACGGGGGAUGCAAGCGUUAUCCGGAUUUAUUGGGUUUAAAGGGUGCGUAGGCUGUGAGGUAAGUCAGCGGUGAAAUGCCCCCGCUCAACGGGGUGAAGUGCCAUUGAUACUGCCUGGCUGGAAUGCGGAUGCCGUGGGAGGAAUGUGUGGUGUAGCGGUGAAAUGCAUAGAUAUCACACAGAACACCGAUUGCGAAGGCAUCUCACGAAUCCGCGAUUGACGCUGAUGCACGAAAGCGUGGGUAUAAAACAGGAUUAGAUACCCGUGUAGUC